Molecule: non-coding RNA, 91 nt
Filed under: marine eukaryotic metagenome
Description: Glycine riboswitch
Rfam family: Glycine riboswitch aptamer
About the family: This family represents the bacterial glycine riboswitch. Glycine riboswitches usually consist of two metabolite-binding aptamers domains with similar structures in tandem. The aptamers cooperatively bind glycine to regulate the expression of downstream genes.
Source: RNAcentral
AAACUCUGGAAAGCUGGCGUUCGCGUCACACCGAAGGGGAAAGCUGGCCAAACCACGCCGGUCAAUCUCUCAGGUACUCCGACAGAGGGGG